Beta vulgaris subsp. vulgaris (sugar beet) is the source of this 1284-nucleotide long non-coding RNA. RefSeq lists it as uncharacterized. The transcript is spliced from 2 exons. The record is from RefSeq and is a predicted model, not a curated record. NCBI's taxonomy places the organism in Eukaryota, Viridiplantae, Streptophyta, Magnoliopsida, Caryophyllales, Amaranthaceae.
AAAUUAUUUUUGUUAGGUGCGCGACAUGCCUAUCAUUUAUUGGUAUGGAUCAUGAUUGAAUCAUGUAGUUCUCUUUUAUUAUUAUUUCACUACUUUGAGGACCGAUACAACAAGAAUCCGCGCUUUUAGCGUAUGAAUUUACCGUCCGGACCCAUAAGACGCAAAUUAGCGUCCAUCUUUGGGCGGACGCUAAUUAGCGUCCGUUUUUGGAGCGGACGCUAAUUAGUGUCCGUUGUACAAGUUUACCGUCUAUCAUGACGGACGGUAUUUAAUGGUCAUAAAGCAAAACACGACCCACCUUAUUUCCAACCCUAUCUCUACCUAUCCUUAUUCUCUCACCUCACAUCACAACCGUCCUCUUUGUUCGUCUUCUUUCUGCUCUUCUUUUCUUCUUCCUUUCUAUUUUUUUCUCUCUCACCGUCGACGGUAUUCACCACACUUUGUCUGAUUUGAAGGUGAUUUUUUGGGUUUUUUAUGUGGUUCGAUCGAUUUUCGAGCCAAUCAACGUCACAGGUUUUCGUUUUAGGGUUAGUUAUUUUUUUGGAUUUUUAUGGGUUUUUUUUGUUAAUUUCUCAAUUCUCCUUCAAAACCCCAUAUUUAUCCUCUCUUUUUUUCGAUUUUUAUUUUCGAAUCCUUUUUUUGUAUGUUUUUUUCGUUUUCUCGAUUUUUAUUUAUCUUCUCUCUUUUUCGAUUUUUGUUUCAGAUCUGGUUUUUUCUUGAUUUUUUCGUCGGGUUUUUAUGCUAUGAUUUUGUGUUGAUUUUUAAUCUGGUGGACUAUCUGGUGUUUUGAUAUGUUGCCUUUUUCUUAUCUAAAGGUAAGUUAUACAAGAAGGUAAGAUCUGCGAUUAUUGACUCUUGACAGUGAUUAGUUUUUUGAAGGAAAAUGACUUGUGAUGUACUUCUGAUAAGUUAUUGAUUAAUUAAGUUGAGCGUGAUUUAGGAAUUGAAAUGAAAGCUAAUACAUAUUUUGUUUUCAGGCUGCCAGUUUUGGAGGAACAAACAUUGAUCCAACAGCCUGGGAAGACAAAAAGAAUGCUGGCGAAUCUCGUUUUCCUGCUCAGGGUUAUGAGAUUUGCGUUUGAGUUCCAGAUUUGAAGUUGGUUUUGAUCCAGAUACCAGAUUUAAAGUCCAUUUUGUUCCAAAUUUUUGUUGUGGAGUUUAAAGUGUACAUGUAAUUAUAUGAGAUUUGUAUUAGAUUUUGUUCUAAGUAUACUAGAAUUUAGUUCUAGAAUUAUUUUUUCACUUGUAUCUACAUUUAUUAUCAAUAAUAAUUGAAUUGAUUAA